GUAGUCCAUGCCGUAAACGUUGGGCACUAGGUGUGGGACCCAUUCCACGGGUUCCGUGCCGCAGCUAACGCAUUAAGUGCCCCGCCUGGGGAGUACGGCCGCAAGGCUAAAACUCAAAGGAAUUGACGGGGGCCCGCACAAGCGGCGGAGCAUGCGGAUUAAUUCGAUGCAACGCGAAGAACCUUACCAAGGCUUGACAUACACCGGAAACAUCCAGAGAUGGGUGCCCCGCAAGGUCGGUGUACAGGUGGUGCAUGGUUGUCGUCAGCUCGUGUCGUGAGAUGUUGGGUUAAUUCCCGCAACGAGCGCAACCCUUGUCCUGUGUUGCCAGCGGGUUAUGCCGGGGACUCAUGGGAGACUGCCGGGGUCAACUCGGA
This 377-nucleotide ribosomal RNA is filed under the name uncultured bacterium. RNAcentral's name for it is "bacterial SSU rRNA". It matches the Rfam family "Bacterial small subunit ribosomal RNA", at positions 790 to 1167 of the family's 1533-position model. The record is from RNAcentral.